AAAGCAAGGCUCAAGCAAUUCUCUAUGAUGAACAAGCUAAAGAAAAGAGCUUUAAGGGUGAUUGCUGAGCAUUUGACAGUGGACGAAGUGGCUGGAAUAAAGGAGGGAUUCCAAUUGAUGGAUAUAAGUAACAAAGGGAAGAUUGACGUUAACGAGUUGAGAGUUGGGUUGCAGAAACUUGGCCAUCAAAUUCCCGAAUCUGAUGUACAGAUUCUUAUGGAUGUUGGUGAUGUCGAUAAAGAUGGAUUUUUGGACUACGGGGAAUUUGUAGCAAUUUCAGUCCAUCUAAGAAAGAUGGCAAAUGAGGAGCACCUGAAGAAGGCAUUUGAUUUUUUUGAUAGGAACCAAAAUGGAUAUAUAGAGAUUGAGGAAUUAAGGGAAGCCUUAGAUGACGAGAUUGAAACCAACAGUGAAGAAGUUAUCAAUGCUAUUAUGCAAGAUGUAGACACUGACAAGGAUGGACGGAUAAGUUACGAUGAAUUCUCUACUAUGAUGAAGGCUGGAACAGAUUGGAGGAAGGCAUCAAGACAGUAUUCACGAGAACGAUAUAAUAGUCUCAGUUUGAAACUGAUGAAGGAUGGAUCCUUACAAAGCUAAUUAAGUAAAGCCAAAAUAUGACAUCUUGAGUAAGUACUAGAACUCAGCUUUUGGCUUUCUAAAUUCGUCCUUUCUUUCCUGUUCACCCAUCGAUCUGCCAUUUUUUAUUUCGUCUCUGUAUUUUUUCUUCUGAGGGUGGAUCAAUUAACUUGGGGACGACUGCAACAUUCAUGUGUUCUUUGAGUUGUAAUCAUGUUGUGUCAUUUUCUUUUUGCUUUUCGUUUGGACAAUCCGAGAAAAUAUGGUGAAGGGUAGAAAGGUGAUUAUUGUGGUUGUAUAUAGGUUGGCAUCGUAUGCUUCAACUGUUCAGUUAUGGAUACCAG
RNAcentral lists this unclassified non-coding RNA (920 nucleotides) under Hevea brasiliensis (rubber tree). The record is from RNAcentral. Lineage: Eukaryota; Viridiplantae; Streptophyta; Magnoliopsida; Malpighiales; Euphorbiaceae.